UGCCCCGGAAGACUCUGGGAACUGCAGUUCCUGCGCCAACUACGGGUUUGCCGUUUCUGUCCCCAGCUGGGGCUACUCCUGAUGCUCUCAGGAACCAGAUUAUCGCAGUUUCAUAACAUCAUCACGUUACUGGUGAGAGACAGCUGACAGCUGCCUGUGGAAGAAACGAAAGUCAGACUUGUGUUUCAUAGCUUCCUCUGCAUGUGACUGUGUUCAUUACAUGAUCGUCAGACCCCGGACAAGGAGUACAAACUGUAUGGGAUGGUGCAUCACAUAGGCAGUCUGAGAGGAGGACAUUACACAGCCACCAUCCUGUGCAGUGAGGACAAAACCUGGUAUGAGUUUGAUGACGCUCACGUCAGCAAGUGGGUAAGAGUCCAGGUUCUAUUAAUUCAGAAAGUCUGACAGAUGUUGAAGCUGAACAACCAGAGGAGACCAGCAACGUAAUCAAACUCAUGCCGCAUGAGAAGGAAUACACGAGAAAAAUGGGAAAAAGGGACACUGAUGAGAAGGAGAAGAGACAGAGGGGACACAAUCAUAUUGGUGCUCAGCCACACAGAUGUCAUUAUGGUCUGUACAAUCAGGGCGCCACAUGUUACCUCAACAGUGUCCUGCAACUUCUCGCCAUGACAACAGAGAUCCAUGACAGGUUUGA
This is a long non-coding RNA of Epinephelus moara (kelp grouper), 655 nucleotides long. RefSeq lists it as uncharacterized. The transcript has 5 exons. NCBI's taxonomy places the organism in Eukaryota, Metazoa, Chordata, Actinopteri, Perciformes, Serranidae. The record is from RefSeq and is a predicted model, not a curated record.